CAGUCGCCACGGGAAUACGAAGGGGGCUAGCGUUGCUCGGAAUGACUGGGCGUAAAGGGCGCGUAGGCGGUUUUGACAGUCAGAUGUGAAAUCCCCGGGCUUAACCUGGGAACUGCAUUUGUGACUGGCGGGCUAGAGUAUGGCAGAGGGGGGUAGAAUUCCACGUGUAGCAGUGAAAUGCGUAGAGAUCGGAAGGAACAUCUGUGGCGAAGGCGACUAUCUGGGCCAACACUGACACUGAGGCACGAAAGCGUGGGGAGCAAACAGGAUUAGAUACCCCUGUAGUCCCUGUCUCUUAUAC
RNAcentral lists this ribosomal RNA (301 nucleotides) under uncultured bacterium. RNAcentral's name for it is "partial 16S ribosomal RNA". It matches the Rfam family "Bacterial small subunit ribosomal RNA", at positions 509 to 807 of the family's 1533-position model. The record is from RNAcentral.